UGACGGUACCCUACUAGAAAGGAGCCGCUAACUUCGUGCCAGAAGCGUCGGUAAUACGGGGGCUCCAAGCGUUAUCCGGUGUUAUUGGGCGUAAAGAGUCGUGUAGGUGGUUGGGUAAGUUAUCUUUCAAAUAUCUUUGCUUAACAAAGAGGAGGGGGAUAAUACUGCUCGACUAGAAUUUUCUCAAGGGAGAUCGGAACUGAGGGAGGAGUAGUGAAAUGCGUUGAUACCCUCGGGAACACCAGUGGCGUAGGCGGAUCUCUGGGAGAAGAUUGACACUGAGACACGAAAGCUAGGGGAGCGAAGCAGAUUAGAGACCUGCGUAGUCCUAGCCGUAAACGCAUGCUUGCUAGCUGCAUGAAUCUACCUUCGGGUGGUAUCGUGUGGCGAAGGUAACCCGUUAAGCAAGCCGCCUGGAAAGUACGGCCGCAAGGCUGAAAUUCAAAGGAAUUGGCGGGGAGGCACACAACCAGUGGAACAUGUGGUUUAAUUCGAGACUAACCGAAGAACCUCACCAGGGUUUGACAUGUAGCUGCACGUCUUAAGAAAUUAAGACUCUCUUGAAGGUGCUACACAGGUGCUGCAUGGCUGUCGUCAGCUCGUUCCGUGAGGAGUGCCCUUAAGUGGGACAACGAGCGCAACCCCUAUUACAUGUUAGAAAUGUCAUGUAAGACUGCCUUGCCAUUUGGCGGGGAGGAAGGAGGGGCAGACGUCAAGUCCGCAUGGUCCUUAUGCCCUGGGCUACACACAUGUUACAAUGAGUACGGCAAUGAGUCUGUCGCGAGCACGUAAGUGUAAGCUAAUCUCUUAAAUGUACUCUCAGUGGGGAUUGAGGUCUGCAACUCGACCUCAUGAACACGGAAUUGGUAGUAAUCGCGGGUCAGCUAUACCGCGGUGAUACGUUCUUGCCUCUGCACACACCGCCCGUCAAACCAGCAAAGUCGAUUGUAUCCGACCUCUCUUUUUGAGUGGGA
RNAcentral lists this ribosomal RNA (974 nucleotides) under uncultured organism. Its description in RNAcentral is "bacterial SSU rRNA". It matches the Rfam family "Bacterial small subunit ribosomal RNA", at positions 470 to 1443 of the family's 1533-position model. The record is from RNAcentral.